Molecule: long non-coding RNA, 324 nt
Filed under: Manacus vitellinus (golden-collared manakin)
Lineage: Eukaryota; Metazoa; Chordata; Aves; Passeriformes; Pipridae
Description: lncRNA (ENSMVIG00005006014.1)
Source: RNAcentral
CACAGGAACAGGCUUUGUCUGAAAAACAACCCCCGGCAGGUGCAGACUCGGUUGGAAAAAGCCAAGGCUGCUGAUGCCUGUCCUGCAUCUCCCUACCAGCCAUCCAAGGUUUGUCCCGCAGCCGCAGAGGAUCAGACAGAUCAGUGUUUGGGAGCAGGGGCUUUGCUGCCACAGAGAUCUCCACGCUCCAGUCCUUGGUCUGCAGCCUGGGAGAGAGCCAAAGCAGUGCUUUGGUGUGUUGCUCCAGCAGCUGGUCAGAGCAGGAGAAUGCCAGCCUUCCAGAGAGAACAGGGAGUGGGGCUGAAAAAAAGGGAGGAAGAGGAG